Notothenia coriiceps (black rockcod) is the source of this 210-nucleotide long non-coding RNA. RefSeq lists it as uncharacterized. Lineage: Eukaryota; Metazoa; Chordata; Actinopteri; Perciformes; Nototheniidae. The transcript is spliced from 4 exons. The record is from RefSeq and is a predicted model, not a curated record.
AGGGCAAAGAGGGUCUCAAAGGAAUCCAGGGACCACCCGGUCUCCUUGGAUUAAUGGGUCAGGAUGGAAAAAUGGGCAAAGAUGGGCGACCAGGAGAAACUGGAGAAUCUGGCAAGCAAGGUGAACCUGGACCUCAAGGAAACCAGGGGCUCAGGGGGCUACCGGGCUUUAAGGGCCACAGAGGAGAACCUGGACCUGCAGGAACCAAGG